GGGAACUAAAGUAGUUUUCUUGAUUAAAUUUGGGUGUAUUAUAUUGGUUCCAGUUUGGUUCACCAGGACAUCCUUGUUAUAAUCAUUACAAUGGUUUUCUAUAUAUUUUCCAAUGGUGUACCUUAACAAAAGUCAAUUGACCAUGUUUCAAAUCCAUUUGCUCCACCCUUUCUCCGACUAUCAUGGUUGUCUCUUUAGGAGCACUUUUUGAUUGAUCAAACAUAUAUUUUUCUGUAAUUCUAUUGUCUGUUGUUGAUUGAUGUAGCAGGCAUUUUGUCAUUAAUCUGUAAUCUUGCUGUAUAAAUGAUUGGUAGGCACCUGCUUUGUUGAAGAAACACAACAUAUGUUAAGUUUUAUAACGGUGUGUGGCAAAUUUUCUUUGUUCU
RNAcentral lists this unclassified non-coding RNA (386 nucleotides) under Hevea brasiliensis (rubber tree). Lineage: Eukaryota; Viridiplantae; Streptophyta; Magnoliopsida; Malpighiales; Euphorbiaceae. The record is from RNAcentral.